GUUCAACGGCGAGGCCACGUGACCAUCCGCUAUCAUGUGACUCUCAUUGGGCCAGUCUGCAGGGUCCUAAACUCCGCCUACCUCAACUCUACGGAGGAGUAAUAUUGGCAGGCAGAUGUUUAUGUAAUGGAACCAGAAGACUGAUCCGGAAUGGUCACGUGGCCUCUGCUUUUGGACCCUGUCUGGAGGAGUGCGUUAAAAAGCCGUCUUUCUUGCCUGAGGUAUAUCUCGUGCCUGGCUCUGUCUGCAUUUCUGAAGCCGCAGAUCUUUCCACAACUGCACCGCACGCUGUAAGAGCAGGAAGUGGGGGCAAAGAUGGUGCAGCGGAUCGGGAACAAAGCAGCAUAUGUAGACCCGCAGGUCUGUGCUCCUCACCCCUCCCUCCCGUGCCUCUGGGGAUCAUGAUGACCAAAUGGAUGUUUUGUUCUCCUUCCCUUUGUCCUCUCAGGUAGAGUGAGAAAAACACAAGGCUUUGCUCUUCAACACAAUCUCGUCUGUCUGCCUGCCAAUAGGCCACAGUUUCACAAAUUAGUGACUCGCGCAAAGAGCAGUUCUUUCACUAUUGUUUGGUCUUGGCUAAUGUGUAAUGGGUAAUGUUUAGCCGGUGUAAUACUCUGUAUCCGCAGCCUGCUGCCACCUUGUCUGCUUUCAGUCAAAGCUGGCAUUCAUUUCUGAUUUUACGACUUAAGUCGAAUCACAUGGGACACGAUGUGGACUGUUCGCUGCAAAAAGUUUAUUCUGACAUCAAAAGUACACUCACUCACUUUACUGCCACAUUGCAUACAAUGUUAAUGUUACGUUUAACUGUGUUUAGGUUCCUGGCACUGGUAAUACAUUUACUUCUCACAACUUUAUUGAUACACAGUAUGACAUAAAUUCACUUCAAAUGUUUCUCAUCAGAACGUUUCAAAUCAAAUUUCAAUCAUGCUUUUUACAUAUGCUGUAUAUAUGUAAAAAAAAAAAAGAACAAAACCAAUAAAACCAAUAAAACUACUUUACAUUAUAGUUGUAUACAGUAUACGUGUGUUAACCUACAAGUUAUUGUUAAUCCAUCCACAUUCCAAGAAAGGAGAAGAGUAGAAUAUGAGUUUGCUUCAAAUCAAUUCAAUGACAUGUCAAUGUCAAUUAAUGACAGUCAGAUGAGAUAACAUUAUGCAACAGGAAUCAAUUGCUGUAUCUCUAAACAACAAUUUCACAGUAAAACACUUUGCCAUGUUGCUCCAUUAGUUGCUGAAUAGUCAACACUGGUUACAUAACAGACACAACACUUCCAGGAUUUAUUGCAUGAAUAAUGCUUAUAGAUUAUCAUGUGUCUGUCUAUCCUCUGUCAUCACAGGUCAAGACUUGGUGUAUGAUCUUAUCUGGCACAAGGUCACAGAUUAAGUUGCUUGUGUGUUUCCCUUUGUUCAUUGGAAAUUACUGUAUGAGCUUAAAA
Scophthalmus maximus (turbot) is the source of this 1435-nucleotide long non-coding RNA. RefSeq lists it as uncharacterized. Lineage: Eukaryota; Metazoa; Chordata; Actinopteri; Pleuronectiformes; Scophthalmidae. The record is from RefSeq and is a predicted model, not a curated record. The transcript is spliced from 3 exons.